UGGGAGGGUAAUAGAGCCCAUGUCCUGCUGUCCCGCAUGGGACCUUACAAAUUGUUUUACUGGGACAUUGCAAGGACUGCUCCAGGACAGGAGUUGGAGAGUGAGUGAUCAAUGCACUGCUCAGUAGGAUGAUUGCUGAGACAAACAAGGUGGGGAGGAAGGCCCUGUUCAUUGACUCCUUUGAAAUGACCAGGAUUUGGGAAGGAAAGUAGUCAAGACUGAGGUGUGAUCCCACACAACACGACCUCACCAUGGGUGCUGUUCAUGAGCCAGGACACUGGAUAUUAUCUGUGAUCUUUCCCAAGGAAAGACACAGUGGUGGACCCCCUGGGUAAUGACCUAUGCAAGGUCAAACAAUGUCUGGAGUCGACAAGGGCAUUCAUCCAGAAGAAAGGGUGCAAUGUGUCACGGUGGACAGCAGGCACUGUACCACACACCUUACAAGGGGAUGGCAACUCCUGUGGAGCCUUUGUGUUGAAGUAUGCAGAAAGGAUACUGCAGGAAGAGCCACUACUAUUUUCCAAUAGCAGAGCAGCAGUGGCUUUGUACAGGAAGGAGGUGGCCAGGGCACUUUUGCACUUUUGCCUGAUGACCUUAGUGAGCUGUGCCACCAUUGUGGUGAACACAAAUGUUUGUGCACAGGACCAAAAGAGACAACCAAAUGGGUCCAAUGUGACACGUGACCGGUGGUUCCACAUGACGUGUGUUGGAUACGUGGACCAUGCCAGCCCCGGGAGCAAUCCCUUUAG
Long non-coding RNA from Alosa sapidissima (American shad), 749 nucleotides. RefSeq lists it as uncharacterized. The transcript has 8 exons. Lineage: Eukaryota; Metazoa; Chordata; Actinopteri; Clupeiformes; Clupeidae. The record is from RefSeq and is a predicted model, not a curated record.